UGGGGAAUCUUGGACAAUGGGGGCAACCCUGAUCCAGCCAUGCCGCGUGAGUGAUGAAGGCCUUAGGGUCGUAAAGCUCUUUCGCCUGUGAAGAUAAUGACGGUAGCAGGUAAAGAAACCCCGGCUAACUCCGUGCCAGCAGCCGCGGUAAUACGGAGGGGGUUAGCGUUGUUCGGAAUUACUGGGCGUAAAGCGCACGUAGGCGGACCAGAAAGUUGGGGGUGAAAUCCCGGGGGCUCAACCCCGGAACUGCCUCCAAAACUAUUGGUCUAGAGUUCGAGAGAGGUGAGUGGAAUUCCAAGUGUAGAGGUGAAAUUCGUAGAUAUUUGGAGGAACACCAGUGGCGAAGGCGGCUCACUGGCUCGAUACUGACGCUGAGGUGCGAAAGUGUGGGGAGCAAACAGGAUUAGAUACCCUGGUAGUCCACACCGUAAAACGAUGAAUGCCAGUCGUCGGGUAGCAUGCUAUUCGGUGACACACCUAACGGAUUAAGCAUCCG
Molecule: ribosomal RNA, 499 nt
Filed under: uncultured bacterium
Lineage: Bacteria
Description: bacterial SSU rRNA
Rfam family: Bacterial small subunit ribosomal RNA
Source: RNAcentral